GAUGAAGAACUCAGCGAAAUGCGAUAAGUAGUGUGAAUUGCAGAAUUCAGUGAAUCAUCGAAUCUUUGAACGCACAUUGCGCCCCUUGGUAUCCCGAGGGGCAUGCCUGUUCGAGCGUCAUUUCACCACUCAAGCCUGGCUUGGUGUUGGGCGACGUCCUCUUUGGGGACGCGCCUCGAAACGCUCGGCGGCGUGGCACCGGCUUUAAGCGUAGCAGAAUCUUUCGCUUUGGAAGUCGGGGCCCCGUCUGCCGGAAGACCUGCUCGCAAGGUUGACCUCGGAUCAGGCAGGGAUACCCGCUGAACUUAAGCAUAUCAAUAAGCGGAGGA
RNAcentral lists this unclassified non-coding RNA (329 nucleotides) under soil metagenome. RNAcentral describes it as "partial contains 5.8S ribosomal RNA, internal transcribed spacer 2, and large subunit ribosomal RNA". The stretch from base 1 to 120 matches the Rfam family "5.8S ribosomal RNA", at positions 35 to 154 of the family's 154-position model. The record is from RNAcentral.